CAAGAAGCCGAAAGGCUGCUUAAAACCAUCGCGAACUUAUCCAAGUUGCUUCGGCGGCGCGGCUCCCCUCACGGGGGACCGCAGCCCCCGCCUCUCAGGAGGUAAGGGGCAGCCGCCGGAGGUACGAAACUCUGUAUUAUAGUGGUAUCUCUGAGUAUAAAACAAAUAAGUUA
Molecule: unclassified non-coding RNA, 173 nt
Filed under: soil metagenome
Description: partial internal transcribed spacer 1
Source: RNAcentral